GAGGAAUAUUGGACAAUGGGUGGAAGCCUGAUCCAGCCAUCCCGCGUGAAGGAUGACGGCCCUAUGGGUUGUAAACUUCUUUUGUAUAGGGAUAAACCUACUCUCGUGAGAGUAGCUGAAGGUACUAUACGAAUAAGCACCGGCUAACUCCGUGCCAGCAGCCGCGGUAAUACGGAGGGUGCAAGCGUUAUCCGGAUUUAUUGGGUUUAAAGGGUCCGUAGGCGGAUCUGUAAGUCAGUGGUGAAAUCUCGCAGCUUAACUGUGAAACUGCCAUUGAUACUGCAGGUCUCGAGUGUUGUUGAAGUAGCUGGAAUAAGUAGUGUAGCGGUGAAACGCAUAGAUAUUACUUAGAACACCAAUUGCGAAGGCAGGUUACUAAGCAACAACUGACGCUGAUGGACGAAAGCGUGGGGAGCGAAC
This 420-nucleotide ribosomal RNA is filed under the name uncultured bacterium. Its description in RNAcentral is "bacterial SSU rRNA". It matches the Rfam family "Bacterial small subunit ribosomal RNA", at positions 356 to 773 of the family's 1533-position model. The record is from RNAcentral.